GAUGAACGCUGGCGGCGUGCCUAAUACAUGCAAGUCGAGCGAACAGACGAGGAGCUUGCUCCUCUGAUGUUAGCGGCGGACGGGUGAGUAACACGUGGAUAACCUACCUAUAAGACUGGGAUAACUUCGGGAAACCGGAGCUAAUACCGGAUGAUAUUUUGAACCGCAUGGUUCAAUAGUGAAAGACGGUUUUGCUGUCACUUAUAGAUGGAUCCGCGCUGCAUUAGCUAGUUGGUAAGGUAACGGCUUACCAAGGCAACGAUGCAUAGCCGACCUGAGAGGGUGAUCAGCCACACUGGAACUGAGACACGGUCCAGACUCCUACGGGAGGCAGCAGUAGGGAAUCUUCCGCAAUGGGCGAAAGCCUGACGGAGCAACGCCGAGUGAGUGAUGAAGGUCUUCGGAUCGUAAAACUCUGUUAUUAGGGAAGAACAGAUGUGUAAGUAACUGUGCACAUCUUGACGGUACCUAAUCAGAAAGCCACGGCUAACUACGUG
This 497-nucleotide ribosomal RNA is filed under the name uncultured bacterium. Its description in RNAcentral is "partial 16S ribosomal RNA". It matches the Rfam family "Bacterial small subunit ribosomal RNA", at positions 28 to 507 of the family's 1533-position model. The record is from RNAcentral.